GAGUUUGAUCGUGGCUCAGGAUGAACGCUGGCGGCGUGCUUAACACAUGCAAGUCGAACGUACCUUCGGGUUAGUGGCGGACGGGUGAGUAACGCGUGAGAAUCUGCCCUCAGGAGGGGGAUAACGGUUGGAAACGACCGCUAAUACCCCCAUAUGCCUACUGGUGAAAUGAAUUUCGCCUGAGGAUGAGCUCGCGUCUGAUUAGCUAGUUGGUGAGGUAAUGGCUCACCAAGGCUUCGAUCAGUAGCUGGUCUGAGAGGAUGAUCAGCCACACUGGGACUGAGACACGGCCCAGACUCCUACGGGAGGCAGCAGUGGGGAAUUUUCCGGCAAUGGGCGAAAGCCUGACGGAGCAACGCCGCGUGAGGGACGAAGGCC
RNAcentral lists this ribosomal RNA (378 nucleotides) under uncultured Prochlorococcus sp. RNAcentral describes it as "bacterial SSU rRNA". It matches the Rfam family "Bacterial small subunit ribosomal RNA", at positions 9 to 416 of the family's 1533-position model. Lineage: Bacteria; Bacillati; Cyanobacteriota; Cyanophyceae; Synechococcales; Prochlorococcaceae. The record is from RNAcentral.